CCGGAAGCUUAUAAGAAAUCUCACUAUGCCCUCCGACGAACCAUCAAACAGGCAAAGUGUCAAUACAAGACUAAGUUCGAAUCGUACUACACCGGCUCCGACGCUCGUCGGAUGUGGCAGGGCUUGCAAACUAUUACAGACUACAAAGGGAAGCACAGCCGUGAGCUGCCCAGUGACACAAACCUGCCAGACAAGCUAAAUCACUUCUAUGCUCGCUUCAAGGCAAGUAACACUCAAACAUGAAUGAGAGCACCAGCUGUUCCGGACAACUGUGUGAUCACGCUAUCUGUAGCCGAUGUGAGUAAGACCUUUAAACAGGUCAACAUUCACAAGGCCGCAGGGCCAGACGGAUUACCAGGACGUGUACUCUGAGCAUGCGCUGACCAACUGGCAAGUGUCUUCACUGACAUUUUCAACCUGUCCCUGACUGGGUUACUGUUGGGGCUAGACUGGGUUACUGUUAGGGCUAGACUGGGUUAGACUGGGUUAGGGCUGGACCGGGUUAGACUGGGUUACUGUUAGGGCUAGACUGGGUUAGACUGGGUUACUGUUAGGGCUAGACUGGGUUACUGUUAGGGCUGGACCGGGUUAGACUGGGUUAGACUGGGUUAGACUGGGAUACUGUUAGGGCUGGACUGGGUUAGACUGGGUUACUGUUAGGGCUAGACUGGGUUAGACUGGGUUACUGUUAGGGUUAGACUGGGUUACUGUUAGGGCUGGACUGGGUUAGGCUGGGUUACUGUUGGGGCUGGAUUGGGUUAGGCUGGGUUACUGUUAGGGCUAGACUGGGUUAGACUGGGUUACUGUUAGGGCUGGACUGGGUUAGACUGGGUUACUGUUAGGGCUGGACUGGGUUAGACUGGGUUACUGUUAGGACCGGACUGGGUUACUGUUAGGGCUAGACUGGGUUACUGUUAGGGCUAGACUGGGUUAGACUGGGUUACUGUUGGGGCUGGACUGGAUUAGACUGGGUUACUGUUAGGGUUAGACUGGGUUACUGUUAGGGCUGGACUGGGUUACUGUUAGGGCUGGACUGGGUUAGACUGGGUUACUGUUAGGGCUAGACUGGGUUAGACUGGGUUACUGUUAGGGCUAGACUGGGUUAGACUGGGUUACUGUUAGGGCUGGACUGGCCUGGACUGGGUUACUGUUAGGGCUGGAUUGGUUUAGACUGGGUUACUGUUAGUGCUGGACUGGGUUAGACUGGGUUACUGUUAGGGCUAGACUGGGUUACUGUUAGGGCUGGACUGGGUUAGACUGGGUUACUGUUAGGGCUAGACUGGGCUACACUGGGUUACUGUUAGGGCUGG
Molecule: long non-coding RNA, 1310 nt
Filed under: Salmo salar (Atlantic salmon)
Lineage: Eukaryota; Metazoa; Chordata; Actinopteri; Salmoniformes; Salmonidae
Description: lncRNA (ENSSSAG00000098656.1)
Source: RNAcentral